UACGGAGGAUGCAAGCGUUAUCCGGAUUUAUUGGGUUUAAAGGGUGCGUAGGCGGGACUGUAAGUCAGGGGUGAAAUACUGCAGCUUAACUGUAGCAUUGCCUUUGAAACUGCCGUUCUUGAGUACAGUUGAGGUAGGCGGAAUGUGGUGUGUAGCGGUAAAAUGCAUAGAUAUACCACAGAACGCCGAUUGCGAAGGCGGCUCCCUGGACUGUAACUGACACUGAGGCACGAAAGCGUGGGGAGCAAACAGGAUUAGAUACCCCCGUA
This 269-nucleotide ribosomal RNA is filed under the name uncultured prokaryote. Its description in RNAcentral is "partial 16S ribosomal RNA". It matches the Rfam family "Bacterial small subunit ribosomal RNA", at positions 524 to 792 of the family's 1533-position model. The record is from RNAcentral.